This is a long non-coding RNA of Lutra lutra (Eurasian river otter), 1690 nucleotides long. RefSeq lists it as uncharacterized. Lineage: Eukaryota; Metazoa; Chordata; Mammalia; Carnivora; Mustelidae. The transcript is spliced from 3 exons. The record is from RefSeq and is a predicted model, not a curated record.
GAAGAGCAGCAAUUCCAGGAACAGAAAAGCGACCACUUUCUGCAAGGAUCCAGUCUGCAGUCCGUAACAUUUGUUCCCUGACCAGGAAACCCAACCACACUGGCCUACUGUUGCCACCAGUUUGGGGGCAACAGCAGCGCAGUGAGGGAACAAGGGUCAUAACAAAGAAGGCGCACCCUGCCUAAUCUUUGGCAGUCUCCCACCCGCUUGCCUGGGAGCAACCCAGCUCCGCUGUUUCCACCAGACUCAAGGAGAUUUGGCAGGUCUCGGCUGUCACCCCAUGGGUCCACCACUCCAGAGUAAAAAAGCCCAUCACCCGGAUGAGAAGCCACAACAGUGGAAAGUCCAGCCAAACCUGGCAGACCUGCUCUGGCUUCGCCUCCAAUGAGAACCCACUGACUGAUGACACCUGCCCGCCAUCAUCCCUACUUCUCACUGGCACGAUAUUCCUCAUCCUAGGGGUCGGACUCUACACUGUUGCCCCCUUCUGACUGGACUUUCCCCCAGAGACUUGCUAUUGUUAUUGUUUACCGGAUGACCCUAGGCUGUUUUACUGCCCUUACUUGUCCACAGGUUUUAUCUGCUGUUGGGCUAGCCAUAAUGGCUCCCUCUAACUAAGGCAUGGGCCCCACUUUUAUUGGCCCUCUGCUCUCUACUCCUAUGGGCAUUUCACUAUGGUUUUCCCAACCCCAGUCAGUCCUGGUCUUCUGCUCUCUGGUGUGUUGUUCCUCCUCACUGCCUUUAGCUUACCCAACAUGGCAAUGGGGGGCAAACACCCCCCCACAAUCAAUCAUGCAUGCCUGUCAGUCUCUUACCCGAUCUUUCAGUCCUCCCCGGGAGCAAUGCUCCACUUAUACAAAAACCUCCUAGCUGUCCUAACAUACCCCCAUAGCCCUUCCCCUUCUUAUAAGCCUGUUGGCCAUGUCAGGAGCUGCCCUAACGCCAUUGGCAUGAAAAUGUCACAGGUUCAGUACCAGGGACUAACUCAACAACUCACGGCCCUGACCCUGCAGCACUAACCUGAUUCGCCAGCUUCAGUGUCCUCCAAAACAGACGUGGACUUGACUGACUCAUAGCUGCACAAGGAGGACUCUGCCUCUUCUUACAGGAAAAAUUUGUUUCUGUGCUCAUGAGUCGAGGGUAGUCCAAGAAACUCUAACCCAAUUGCAGGAAUGAGUAAUUUGCUGGUGGGAGGCACUCCAGCAGGCGACUUCAUGAGAUUCCCUCUCACAACAGUUCCCUUGGUUUGCCCCCCUCAUUGGCCCCCUCCUAUGAUCCUCCUCACAGUAGCAUUUGGUCCUUGUACUUUUAAUGCUCUUACCAGGUUUAUCACUGCUCAUAUUGCCAAGGUCAGACUCCAGUAGCUCCUCACUCACUAUUGUGCUGUAAAUAAUAAAAAUGAUGCCCUCUAAACCAGGUAUUUAAAGGGGCAUCAAAGGGGGAAUGACAAGAAAAAUCUGUGUUCCGAGGUGGCUGACCAAUCCAGCAGGGGAAUCCCAGUCCUGGCCCCAGGGCCAUUCCAGGCUUUCCCGCUAGCCCCACCAGCCACAGCUACAAGAGUGGCACAGAUACGAGAGUACAAGUGUAUAAGAUACCGCCUUUGUUUGUGCUUGGAGCUCAGAUCUUGAGAGAUUACUCUCUUCUGGGCCCACUGGCAUGAAAUAAAUCUCCAAUCCUCCAAGGUCUCCGA